RNAcentral lists this transfer RNA (68 nucleotides) under Escherichia coli. RNAcentral's name for it is "tRNA-Arg". The record is from RNAcentral. Lineage: Bacteria; Pseudomonadati; Pseudomonadota; Gammaproteobacteria; Enterobacterales; Enterobacteriaceae.
GUGGCAUUAGCUCAGCUGGACAGAGCAACCGCCUUCUAAGCGGUUGGUCGCAGCAGAAUCACGCCUAA